GGCCGGUUAGCUCAGCUGGUUAGAGCGUGGUGCUAAUAACGCCAAGGUCACGGGUUCGAGCCCCGUAUUGGCCA
RNAcentral lists this transfer RNA (74 nucleotides) under Danio rerio (zebrafish). Its description in RNAcentral is "tRNA-Ile (AAT) (tRNA-Ile-AAT-16-1)". It matches the Rfam family "tRNA". From Rfam's summary of the family: Transfer RNA (tRNA) molecules are approximately 80 nucleotides in length. Their secondary structure includes four short double-helical elements and three loops (D, anti-codon, and T loops). The record is from Rfam by way of RNAcentral. Lineage: Eukaryota; Metazoa; Chordata; Actinopteri; Cypriniformes; Danionidae.